UACGUAGGGGGCGAGCGUUGUUCGGAGUUACUGGGCGUAAAGGGCGCGUAGGCGGCGAUCCAAGUUAGGCGUGAAAGCCCCGGGCUUAACCUGGGAAUUGCGCUUAAGACUGGACUGCUUGAGUGCGGGAGAGGUGAGUGGAAUUCCCAGUGUAGAGGUGAAAUUCGUAGAUAUUGGGAAGAACACCAGUGGCGAAGGCGGCUCACUGGCCCGCAACUGACGCUGAGGCGCGAAAGCGUGGGGAGCAAACAGG
RNAcentral lists this ribosomal RNA (253 nucleotides) under uncultured bacterium. Its description in RNAcentral is "partial 16S ribosomal RNA". It matches the Rfam family "Bacterial small subunit ribosomal RNA", at positions 524 to 776 of the family's 1533-position model. The record is from RNAcentral.